CUUACCAGGUCAAGACAUGGGCGUGAUUGACAGGCUAAUGACUUUUCUUGAUUCCAUGGAUGGUGGUGCAUGGUCGCACUUAGUUGGUGCAGUGAUUUGUCAGGUUUAUUCCGGUAACGAACGAGACCUCGGCCUUGUAAAUAGCUAUGCUGCUUACAGGGACAUUGGCGGCUACGCUAAGGAAGCUCGAGGCAAUUGCAGAUCUGGAAUGCCCUUAGAUGUCCUGGGUCGCACGCGUGCUACAAUGACGCCACGAACGAGCUUGCGUGAUGAAAGUUACGCAUAAUCAGCAGUCGGCGUCUUAAGGGAUAGUCUCUUGUAACUGUGGGACUCCAACUAGGAAUGCCUCGUAAGCACAAGUCAACAUCUUGUGUUGAUUACGUCCCUGCUCUUUGUACACACCGCCCGUCGCUCCUACCGAUCGAGUGUUUAGGUGAAUUUGAUGGACGUAAGGAAGUCAAAUAAACCUGAGCACUAGAGAAGAGAGUCGACAUCUCAAU
Molecule: ribosomal RNA, 500 nt
Filed under: uncultured Myrionecta
Lineage: Eukaryota; Ciliophora; Litostomatea; Cyclotrichida; Mesodiniidae
Description: bacterial SSU rRNA
Rfam family: Eukaryotic small subunit ribosomal RNA
Source: RNAcentral